CACGUAGGGUGCGAGCGUUGUCCGGAAUUAUUGGGCGUAAAGAGCUCGUAGGCGGUGUGUCGCGUCGGCCGUGAAAACCUGUGGCUUAACUAUGGGCUUGCGGUCGAUACGGGCAUCACUGGAGUUCGGCAGGGGAGACUGGAAUUCCUGGUGUAGCGGUGAAAUGCGCAGAUAUCAGGAGGAACACCGGUGGCGAAGGCGAGUCUCUGGGCCGAUACUGACGCUGAGGAGCGAAAGCGUGGGGAGCGAACAGG
Molecule: ribosomal RNA, 254 nt
Filed under: uncultured bacterium
Lineage: Bacteria
Description: partial 16S ribosomal RNA
Rfam family: Bacterial small subunit ribosomal RNA
Source: RNAcentral